CCCGUGGUUUUUACCUCUCACAUUGAGGGGGUUUUCCACGUUAAAAUCUUGGUGUGUUCUUGUUAUUGCUUUACUUGCUAUAUUUGUUUGUUAUAGUUGCUGCCAUAUUGUAUUGUGAGUGCUUCCAUAUUGUUCUUGUGUUGGACAUUUGUGUCGUUUCCGCUGCUAGGCUCUUUCAUACUAUUGGGUGGUCAGAUUACAACGUAUCACUACUGCUCCAUUUCUUGCAAGGUAAAAGAUUUGGUUCCUGCUAUCAUUCCCGACGAGAUCCAAAAUGCUCCUCGGGGAAGACAGAAGAAUCCUUCUCAGGAAGGACAGGAGAUUCCUCCUCGGGAAACACAGGUGGAAAAUGCUAAUCCAGCGAGUCGGCCAAAGAGAAGUAGAAAGGGAACACCCCAUAGAGCUCCUUUUUCCUAAGAGCCUCCAGUGGGACACAUCCUUGCAGGAUUGGAAGCAGUUUGAUUCAGUUUAUGUUAUCAAGAUAGUAAAUUUAUUAGUUGUGUUGCAUUUAGGUUCUGAAUUUUUUUCCUUUUAAUUCUUGUAAUUUUUUUACUUAAACUUCCUGAAGAUUAUCUUCUGGAAAAUGCUGAACCUGGAAUGCUGCGAGAAAGAAGAAAAGGAGGAAGAAGUUUAUGUUAUCAACACUUUUUUGAUGAUUUGAUGGCUGAAAUAAGAUAUAUGCACUCUUAUUAUGGUUAA
Molecule: long non-coding RNA, 699 nt
Organism: Arachis duranensis
Lineage: Eukaryota; Viridiplantae; Streptophyta; Magnoliopsida; Fabales; Fabaceae
Exons: 2
Source: RefSeq, a predicted model, not a curated record